AAUGGCUUUAAUAGCCACCACUAUUUAAAACAAUAUAUUUCUAUUGAUAGAAUCAAGAUAUGCUUAUUCAUGAAAUAUAAAAGCAACACUCUCUAAGCGUUCUCUCUCUCUCUCUCUCUCUCUCAAAACAUAAAUCCCACUUUUCUACUCUUUCUUAAAAUUUCAAAUCGUCACCUUCAUCAACCCUCAUCGGAGAAGGGCGGCACCGCCGUCCUCAAUGACGGAGAACCUCUACCAAAUAUACAACUCCAUACACGAAACCUAGCCCCUUUUUCUAUCCUCCUUACAAAUCUAAAAAACCUUUUUACCAAAUAAUAUUCCUCUGUUAAUUUUAUCAUAUAGACAUCACAAAUCGCAAAAUCUAAUCAAGUUUGAAUUUUAAAUCUAAGGUCAAUCAACAACGGAUCCAAGACAAACAUUCUCAAAUCGAUGAUGGGAAAAAAAGAAUCAGCAAAUUUACGAACAACAAAGUACAGAACAACAACGAAGCAGAAUAAAAAAGUAGAGUCUCGCUAGAUGUUCGAGAUUCUGACGAGUUUUUCAGUAGUAACAGUAGUACCUCAGGUCUUAGCUCGGUUUACUCAGAGUUUUGAUGAUAAACUCUGAGUCCCCCUUUGGUGUUUUGAGCUUUUGGGUACAGGUUGAGGUGGGAUUUCGGUAGGGUAACGGUAUAUUUCUUCUUCCCCUUUUGCAAAUAUUCGUGGUCUAUUAUAUAGAGAGGAGGCAAGUGGUCCCUCGUUCAUGAGCUGGAAGGAGAGGGGCGUAUCGUUCCGUUAGAGUAAGAUUUCCUUCUGGAUUUUGUGUGGACCAGCGUGACCGUGACCUUUUGUCUGUAGUGUCCUUCGAAGCAUAUGCUUCUUAAGGUUAUUUUUACUACUAAUGAUUCUUUUACCAUUCGGUUUUUCCUUCCUUGCAGUUAUUUUUUUUGAGUCCACUUAUUAUAACUUGCAUUGACUAAGAAUUUUCUAUUAUCACGGUGAACCAACCUUGGAUGAAGGACAUGGAUUCUUAACAAUGCCAAGCCAUGAUUUAUCUCCUACGUAAAUCCAAGCACCCUUGCCGUGAGGCCAUGAUCUCAAACAGGACAGACACUCUUAGUUUGCUGCGAGAGAGAGGAUGACUAGAAGGUGACUUGUACAUUUGGAAAUGACUCCAAUGCAAGAUUAAUGCCAUUGGUAUGCAUCGCUGAAUUGUUGUUGUUGGCGAUGUUGUAUUCGAUGCAGAACUUACUCUUGCUACGACUUAUUGUGAUAUUGCGAAGCGAGUUGUUUGUGAAGCAUUAUCUGUAGAACCAAGGAUGAUGUAUGGUGGAUCUUUUAUUGCAACUAUCAACCAUGUGGGUCUUUAGAUGCCAGCACAACAGCUGCGAGACCAGCAUUGAAGGUUCAUCAACCUCCUCAAUCCGUGUUGGUAACCUGCUACAGCGGAACCACAUGGUGGUUCUGAUGAUUUUUGCUGAGAAGACGCGGUAUGAGCAACUACUAACACACUAGCUGGAUCCAUAGAACUUUGUGAUAUCGAGGUUCUUGUAUUGACUUGUGAAGCACCAUUUCCAGGCUAUUGAUCAGCUCCUUUUGAGAUGCGCUUAGCGACUCAGCACGCACCUGCAGUUGGCGAUGGUUUGGGAGCAACAACAGCAGGUUGUGUUGGUUUAGAUAUUUGACUUUGCAUCCUUUGCGUGAUUUGAUCGCCUUUUGCCUUUCCUUUUCUAACCAGAUUGCAUAGGCUUGUUGUGAAUUUGCGGCGUGGUUUUGUAUAUGUUGUAACAAUGCUUUAUGUACUUUGGUCAUUGUAUUGUGCGUGCCAAUAUGUGAGUUGGUUUCUGGUUGAAUAUGCUGCUCAUGCUGCAGUUUGAUGAUCACCCUUUUGCAGGAUAUGGGAUUUACGGUGUGGAAGGCCAUGGCAUGCUGCAGGUCUAAUGUAUUUGUCUUGGAUGGUGAUGCAGGUUGGACUGUGCUUAUCCGGACAUGGCAUGUUACUUGUUAGAUUUUUUAGAAGUCUAUUUCUUUAAUUUGGCUUGACUGUAAUAUAACUUAGAUCAUAGGAUUGUUUGUAACCGACGACAUGAGGUAUUCUCAUGGAUGAUAUUUGAAACAAAUAUGUUUGUUACCCCAGAACUUUGUUCGGAUAAUGUUAUUUUAAACCGAAAUUCUUGACCAAGCAAUGUUGUAUUCUAAAAUC
Molecule: long non-coding RNA, 2181 nt
Organism: Lathyrus oleraceus (garden pea)
Lineage: Eukaryota; Viridiplantae; Streptophyta; Magnoliopsida; Fabales; Fabaceae
Exons: 5
Source: RefSeq, a predicted model, not a curated record